AGAGUUUGAUCCUGGCUCAGAUUGAACGCUGGCGGCAGGCCUAACACAUGCAAGUCGAGCGCGAAAGGCCUUCGGGCUGAGUAGAGCGGCGGACGGGUGAGUAACGCGUAGGAAUCUACCUGGUAGUGGGGGACAACUUGGGGAAACUCAAGCUAAUACCGCAUACGCCCUAUGGGGGAAAGCGGGGGACCUUCGGGCCUCGCGCUAUCAGAUGAGCCUGCGUAGGAUUAGCUAGUUGGUGAGGUAAAGGCUCACCAAGGCGACGAUCCUUAGCUGGUC
This 279-nucleotide ribosomal RNA is filed under the name uncultured bacterium. Its description in RNAcentral is "partial 16S ribosomal RNA". It matches the Rfam family "Bacterial small subunit ribosomal RNA", at positions 8 to 292 of the family's 1533-position model. The record is from RNAcentral.